This 499-nucleotide ribosomal RNA is filed under the name uncultured bacterium. RNAcentral's name for it is "bacterial SSU rRNA". It matches the Rfam family "Bacterial small subunit ribosomal RNA", at positions 30 to 515 of the family's 1533-position model. The record is from RNAcentral.
AUUGAACGCUGGCGGCAUGCCUUACACAUGCAAGUCGAACGGUAACAGGUCUUCGGAUGCUGACGAGUGGCGAACGGGUGAGUAAUAUAUCGGAACGUGCCCAGUCGUGGGGGGAUAACGCAGCGAAAGCUGUGCUAAUACCGCAUACGAUCUAUGGAUGAAAGCGGGGGAUCGCAAGACCUCGCGCGAUUGGAGCGGCCGAUAUCAGAUUAGGUAGUUGGUGGGGUAAAGGCCCACCAAGCCAACGAUCUGUAGCUGGUCUGAGAGGACGACCAGCCACACUGGAACUGAGACACGGUCCAGACUCCUACGGGAGGCAGCAGUGGGGAAUUUUGGACAAUGGGCGCAAGCCUGAUCCAGCAAUGCCGCGUGCAGGAUGAAGGCCUUCGGGUUGGUAAACUAGCUUUUGUUACGGAACGAAAAGGACGUACUGGUUAAUACCUUGGGCGUCAUGACGGUACCGUAAGAAUAAGACACCGGCUAACUACGUCGCAGCACG